CUACGGGGGGCAGCAGCAAGGAAUAUUGGGCAAUGGGCGAAAGCCUGACCCAGCGACACCGCGUGGAGGAAGAAGGCCUUCGGGUUGUAAACUCCUUUUCAGGGAAGAAUAAUGACGGUACCUGGUGAAUAAGUCUCGGCUAACUACGUGCCAGCAGCCGCGGUAAUACGUAGGAGGCGAGCGUUAUCCGGAUUUACUGGGCGGAAAGAGGGCGUAGGCGGCUUUUCAAGUCGGAUGUGAAAUCUCCCGGCUUAACUGGGAGGGUGCAUUCGAUACUGGGAGGCUGGAGUGCAUCAGAGGAAAGCGGAAUUCCCGGUGUAGUGGUGAAAUGCGUAGAUAUCGGGAAGAACACUAGUGGCGAAGGCGGCUUUCUGGGGUGUAACUGACACUGAGGCCCGAAGGCGUGGGGAGCAAACAGGAUUAGAUACCCCGGUAGUC
This 438-nucleotide ribosomal RNA is filed under the name uncultured bacterium. RNAcentral's name for it is "partial 16S ribosomal RNA". It matches the Rfam family "Bacterial small subunit ribosomal RNA", at positions 339 to 795 of the family's 1533-position model. The record is from RNAcentral.